Molecule: ribosomal RNA, 274 nt
Filed under: uncultured bacterium
Lineage: Bacteria
Description: partial 16S ribosomal RNA
Rfam family: Bacterial small subunit ribosomal RNA
Source: RNAcentral
AUACAGAGGGUGCAAGCGUUAAUCGGAAUUACUGGGCGUAAAGCGCGCGUAGGCGGUUUAAUCAGUCGGAUGUGAAAGCCCCGGGCUCAACCUGGGAACUGCAUUCGAUACUGUUAAGCUAGAGUAUGGUAGAGGGAAGUGGAAUUCCAGGUGUAGCGGUGAAAUGCGUAGAUAUCUGGAGGAACAUCAGUGGCGAAGGCGACUUCCUGGACUCGACCUGACGCUGAGGUACGAAAGCGUGGGUAGCAGACGGGAGUAGAAACCCCAGUAGUCC